CCUACGGGAGGCAGCAGUGGGGAAUAUUGCGCAAUGGGCGAAAGCCUGACGCAGCGACGCCGCGUGAGGGAUGAAGGUCUUCGGAUCGUAAACCUCUGUCAGCAGGGAAGAACGGUCACUGUGCUAAUCAGCAGUGAAUUGACGGUACCUGCAAAGGAAGCACCGGCUAACUCCGUGCCAGCAGCCGCGGUAAUACGGAGGGUGCGAGCGUUAAUCGGAAUUACUGGGCGUAAAGCGCUCGUAGGCGGUAUGUCAAGUCAAGGGUGAAAUCCCCGCGCUCAACGUGGGAACUGCCUUUGAAACUGGCAAACUGGAGUGUGUGAGAGGAUAGUGGAAUGCCAGGUGUAGGAGUGAAAUGCGUAGAUAUCUGGAAGAACAUCGGUGGCGAAGGCGGCUAUCUGGCACAUAACUGACGCUGAGGAGCGAAAGCGUGGGUAGCAAACAGGAUUAGAUACCCCGGUAGUC
This 465-nucleotide ribosomal RNA is filed under the name uncultured bacterium. Its description in RNAcentral is "partial 16S ribosomal RNA". It matches the Rfam family "Bacterial small subunit ribosomal RNA", at positions 338 to 795 of the family's 1533-position model. The record is from RNAcentral.